RNAcentral lists this transfer RNA (71 nucleotides) under Kouleothrix aurantiaca. It matches the Rfam family "tRNA". Rfam says of the family: Transfer RNA (tRNA) molecules are approximately 80 nucleotides in length. Their secondary structure includes four short double-helical elements and three loops (D, anti-codon, and T loops). The record is from Rfam by way of RNAcentral. Lineage: Bacteria; Bacillati; Chloroflexota; Chloroflexia; Chloroflexales; Roseiflexaceae.
GGGGCACUAGCUCAACGGGAGAGCAUCCGCCUUGCAAGCGGACGACAAGGGUUCGACCCCCUUGUGCUCCA